Molecule: long non-coding RNA, 707 nt
Filed under: Lactuca sativa (garden lettuce)
Lineage: Eukaryota; Viridiplantae; Streptophyta; Magnoliopsida; Asterales; Asteraceae
Description: long non-coding RNA (LSAT_LNC005350)
Source: RNAcentral
AAAAACUAAAGACUGAAGUUACGACGCCUCUACCCUCUUUCUUUCGCUCGGUUGCCCUCCUUAACACCUCCUACCAAAUCGACGAAUCGGUUUUCAGACAAAAUUCAAGCUCGAUUUAGAACGAGAUGUGAAGCUUUUAGGGUUAUAAAAUUUUAAUGAUGUUAUCGAAAACAUCAUCGUGAGGCAAUCGAUCCUGAUUAGGUCCCUUUGACCUUUCUAUUUCUUGUACAUCAUACUGAUCCCUCCCAGCCGUCACCGACUUGAAUCUCACGGCCUCAUCGGAGUCCUGAAGUGACUUAACGAUCCGUUGACCGAAGACGAAUAUAUCUCACCUAACACGUCACCUGGUGGCCUUUGUCAGUUUGUUUCGUGUAAGGUAUCGAAAUGCUUUUGAUUUGCUUUUUUUGAUGCGUGUACUUUAUUUGACUAUAUAUAUGAAUAUGGGAUUGACGAAUCCGAUUAUGUAUUGGUUCUGAUUCUGUUUUACGUAUUCGUUCUGGCUUUUAAUUAGGGAUUUGAGUUUUGAUUUGGUUUGAAGAUGAGGGAUCGCAAAUAUUAUCCGGGUACCAACUUCUAUGUGGAUCCCAGAUAUUCGGAUGUAUACUCAUUUGGUAUGACACAGGACAACUCUCUAUACAUUGGAAAGCAAUGAGAUGAUUUCCAAAUAUGCUACCAAUGGAAGCCUUGACCCUCAUCUUUGAUGUUUG